RNAcentral lists this ribosomal RNA (260 nucleotides) under uncultured Enterococcus sp. RNAcentral's name for it is "partial 16S ribosomal RNA". It matches the Rfam family "Bacterial small subunit ribosomal RNA", at positions 355 to 607 of the family's 1533-position model. Lineage: Bacteria; Bacillati; Bacillota; Bacilli; Lactobacillales; Enterococcaceae. The record is from RNAcentral.
UAGGGAAUCUUCGGCAAUGGACGAAAGUCUGACCGAGCAACGCCGCGUGAGUGAAGAAGGUUUUCGGAUCGUAAAACUCUGUUGUUAGAGAAGAACAAGGACGUUAGUAACUGAACGUCCCCUGACGGUAUCUAACCAGAAAGCCACGGCUAACUACGUGCCAGCAGCCGCGGUAAUACGUAGGUGGCAAGCGUUGUCCGGAUUUAUUGGGCGUAAAGCGAGCGCAGGCGGUUUCUUAAGUCUGAUGUGAAAGCCCCGCU